ACACAUCUAACCACUCUUCAGCUGAUAUCCACUUGCUGACAAAUGAAUCUCUCUGGCCCCUGGACUGUGCCCUGAAACACAGCUUAAAACAGCAGAAUGAACAGUAAUCCCAGAGAUCCUGAGAUGAGAAAAGGGUGUUUGACUUAUUCAAAGAAGACCAAGGAAGCCCAAAGACCAGAGAAGAGUGCAGGAAAGGGGCGGCGGUCUGAGAUGCAGUCAGAGCAGUGGCAAGCCCCCAGAGUCUGUGGCAAAGACUUCAGGUUUCAUCCUGAAGAGGAAGACAGGUCUUUGGAGAGUUUUGAUCAAGGAAGUGAGAUGAAAUAUCUUAGGCUUACAAAGAACUACUCUGACAUCUAAAUGGAAAAUGGACUGAUGAAGCAAAAGAAGCCACAAGGAAGCCAGUUCAGAGGCUAUUGAAAUGCUCCAGAGGAACAGCGGUUUAUUGAAAGGAAAGCAAAUGUCCAGAAGCAAAAACAAACAAACAAAAAACAAACAAACAAACAAAAACAGAAAAAACUUCCCCAAAAGUAAAGAAUCACAGCUUUAUUCAGUAGCUCCUCAAUUAAAAUAGUCAUCUUCUUAAUUGUGCCAUCUUCAGAAGCAGCCAUAUAUACUGUAGUUAAGAGGCACAUGGUGAGAAAUUUGGGGUCCAAUCAAGAUGAUAGGAUUCAUCUACAUGGCAGCCCUCAAAGAUUCUGGAAGAGAAAAAUGGUGAAAAGAUACUCAGAGAGUGAGAGCCUUCAGAUUUGGGUGAGUGAUGCCAUUAGAACCAAGAUUUCUUCCAUUCUUCUGCUCUAUCAUUCUCAGCACAACAUGCUUUUCUCAUUAAGGCCGCUGUGGUUCGUCUUCUGCCUGGGAACUGGAUAAAAACAUCAGUGAAUACCCCAAAGAUUUUCAAAAAUGCUUGUUGAUAAAAUGAAGUCAGAAUGUGAGAUGAGCCCUAUAUUAGGUAUUGAGGGUUCAGGGAUGAACUAAGCUGAUCUGGUUCCUGCUCUCUAGGCUGUAGAAGAUGGCAAGUGCUGUGGACUUCAAAGAAAAGAUUUCUGAAGUGUCAUGUUAUGACAAUUGUGAUGCUUCAAACUAUGUUGACUAUUCAUUUACAGCAUAAAGAAGAGUGAGCCACUUUAUCACUGCAGUAAUUAUAUUUUAAAAAUAAAGAAAAUAAAACAAAUGGAGUUUCCCACCCAAUCCAUGGAGACACAGACACGAAGUCUUACUAUAGAUGUGUGGCCAAUCCUUACAUUGCUUUUAUUACAAGCCUGGAAAUGACAAUAAAAUACAUGAACUUGAGAGUAUAUA
This 1299-nucleotide long non-coding RNA is filed under the name Homo sapiens (human). RNAcentral's name for it is "HSALNT0393719". The record is from RNAcentral. Lineage: Eukaryota; Metazoa; Chordata; Mammalia; Primates; Hominidae.